This 266-nucleotide long non-coding RNA is filed under the name Bos taurus (domestic cattle). RNAcentral describes it as "long non-coding RNA NONBTAT002618". The record is from RNAcentral. Lineage: Eukaryota; Metazoa; Chordata; Mammalia; Artiodactyla; Bovidae.
CAAUCUCAUUCAACUCAGGAUUCCAGCACUCCAGUCUGAAAGUCUAAGAGGCAUUGCUUUUAUGUCACAUAGGAAGGAACAUUUUCUUUCGACGAGGAGAGUUUCAUGUAGGACUGUGGGAUAAUGUUCUGGGUUGUUUUUAGCAAAUUUUAAUAGUGGAAAUUUUUGUGUAAAAAAUAAAACGUUUCUGCCCUCACUGAAAAAAGACUGCGACAAUUUUAACUAAACAUAUUACUUUCUCCUGCACAGCCUGGCAUUGGAAUUUC